This 578-nucleotide long non-coding RNA is filed under the name Homo sapiens (human). RNAcentral describes it as "non-protein coding lnc-LBR-4:3". The record is from RNAcentral. Lineage: Eukaryota; Metazoa; Chordata; Mammalia; Primates; Hominidae.
CAAGAAUUAAUUGUUUAAGAAUCAAGGAAGUACAAUAGAAUUUCAGGAUUCUGAUAUUUAUUUUGAGUUGUUCCUAUUUUUUUCCCCAAGAGGGACUAUUUGGAUUUAGAUUAAAUGUUGAAAUACAUGAACAUAUUAUAAGUUAUACUUACUGUUUUUAUCAUUGGCACUAAAAAAUAAUUUAAAACAGUGUCGAACCAACAAGAAAACCUUGGGAAAGAACAAAUACAAUGAAUGGCAGCAAGUCACCUGUUAUCUCCAGACCAAAAUCCACACCCUUAUCACAGCCCAGUGCCAAUGGAGUCCAGACGGAAGGACUUGACUAUGACAGGCUGAAGCAGGACAUUUUAGAUGAAAUGAGAAAAGAAUUAACAAAGCUAAAAGAAGAGCUCAUUGAUGCAAUCAGGCAGGAACUGAGCAAGUCAAAUACUGCAUAGAGGAACAGACUAAGGAGAGAUAGGACUUUAAUCUGGAGGAAAAAUAUCCUACAAACAACAACUGUUCACAACAGCAAACCCCUACAUUUAUGAGCUGUAAGAAGAAAAUGGAGACAAACAGAAGGAGGGAAAAACCAACCU